Molecule: ribosomal RNA, 1002 nt
Filed under: Salmonella enterica subsp. enterica serovar Paratyphi B var. L(+) tartrate +
Lineage: Bacteria; Pseudomonadati; Pseudomonadota; Gammaproteobacteria; Enterobacterales; Enterobacteriaceae
Description: partial 23S ribosomal RNA
Rfam family: Bacterial large subunit ribosomal RNA
Source: RNAcentral
CGAUGAGUAGGGCGGGACACGUGGUAUCCUGUCUGAAUAUGGGGGGACCAUCCUCCAAGGCUAAAUACUCCUGACUGACCGAUAGUGAACCAGUACCGUGAGGGAAAGGCGAAAAGAACCCCGGCGAGGGGAGUGAAAAAGAACCUGAAACCGUGUACGUACAAGCAGUGGGAGCACAGGUUUACCUGUGUGACUGCGUACCUUUUGUAUAAUGGGUCAGCGACUUAUAUUCUGUAGCAAGGUUAACCGUAUAGGGGAGCCGUAGGGAAACCGAGUCUUAACCGGGCGUUAAGUUGCAGGGUAUAGACCCGAAACCCGGUGAUCUAGCCAUGGGCAGGUUGAAGGUUGGGUAACACUAACUGGAGGACCGAACCGACUAAUGUUGAAAAAUUAGCGGAUGACCUGUGGCUGGGGGUGAAAGGCCAAUCAAACCGGGAGAUAGCUGGUUCUCCCCGAAAGCUAUUUAGGUAGCGCCUCGUGAAUUCAUCUCCGGGGGUAGAGCACUGUUUCGGCUAGGGGGCCAUCCCGGCUUACCAACCCGAUGCAAACUGCGAAUACCGGAGAAUGUUAUCACGGGAGACACACGGCGGGUGCUAACGUCCGUCGUGAAGAGGGAAACAACCCAGACCGCCAGCUAAGGUCCCAAAGUCAUGGUUAAGUGGGAAACGAUGUGGGAAGGCCCAGACAGCCAGGAUGUUGGCUUAGAAGCAGCCAUCAUUUAAAGAAAGCGUAAUAGCUCACUGGUCGAGUCGGCCUGCGCGGAAGAUGUAACGGGGCUAAACCAUGCACCGAAGCUGCGGCAGCGACGCUUAUGCGUUGUUGGGUAGGGGAGCGUUCUGUAAGCCUGUGAAGGUGUGUCGUGAGGCAUGCUGGAGGUAUCAGAAGUGCGAAUGCUGACAUAAGUAACGAUAAAGCGGGUGAAAAGCCCGCUCGCCGGAAGACCAAGGGUUCCUGUCCAACGUUAAUCGGGGCAGGGUGAGUCGACCCCUAAGGCGAGGCCGA